This is a non-coding RNA of Nothobranchius furzeri (turquoise killifish), 441 nucleotides long. The record is from RefSeq and is a predicted model, not a curated record. Lineage: Eukaryota; Metazoa; Chordata; Actinopteri; Cyprinodontiformes; Nothobranchiidae.
UAGGCCAGUAUUUGAACUCGAGGAGGGACAGUCUGCUGGCACCACAUCUCCCCAGGAAGAUACUUUAGAGAGACCUACCAGUAUAUGUGAACUUGAUGAGGGACAGCCAGCUGCCACAUCUCCCCAACAAGAUACGUCAGAGAAGCCUGAAACCGAUCAACCAAUGAGUCCCAUUGAAGGUGAUGAUGAGCCUCUUUCUUCAGACCCAGCCAAGUGGCCAUCACCGAUUACCGACAGCAUACGCACAGAGCUAGUUCGAAGAGGACCUACUAAGGUGCCAACUACUUUUAUAUUUCCCAGGAAUGAAGGCGAUGGCAGAUGUUGUCAUCACUAUUUCAGUAGAACUUUGACAAGUGGUGAGAAGGUGGCCAGGAGCUGGAUGUUGUAUUCAGUUAGCAAACGUUGUUAUGUAUAAUACACUCCACGCAAUUUGAAACAAAG